UGCCGGCUCUCCAACAGCCGGGGUUACUGAAGAGGCACACCUUCAUUGCCGGAAGUGCGGUUGGGUCAUCCCCUCCAAUCCAUGGCAGACAAAGCCGAAUCUUAGCCUUUGCGGGCUUCGAUUCACCGUAACGCGCAGAGAGCGCAUGCAUGGU
This is a regulatory RNA element of Sinorhizobium saheli, 154 nucleotides long. It matches the Rfam family "speF leader". Rfam says of the family: This family is a putative regulatory RNA structure that is found upstream of the speF gene encoding ornithine decarboxylase in Agrobacterium tumefaciens and other alpha-proteobacteria. NCBI's taxonomy places the organism in Bacteria, Pseudomonadati, Pseudomonadota, Alphaproteobacteria, Hyphomicrobiales, Rhizobiaceae. The record is from Rfam.